GACGAACGCUGGCGGCGUGCUUAACACAUGCAAGUCGAACGAAGUGGCGAACGGGUGAGUAAUACGUGAGUAACCUGCCCUCCUUUUUGGGAUAAGCCUUGGAAACGGGGUCUAAUACCGGCUAAAGGGGGAUGGGCUCGCGGCCUAUCAGCUUGUUGGUGGGGUGAUGGCCUACCAAGGCGGUGACGGGUAGCCGGCCUGAGAGGGUGGCCUGCCACAUUGGGACUGAGAUACGGCCCAGAGUCCUACGGGAGGCAGCAGGGGGGGAUAGUGCAAAAUGGGCGAAAGACGGAGGCAGCGACGCCGCGUGAGGGAUGAAGGCUUUCGGGUUAUAAGCCUCAGUCGCGAGGGAACCGGUAUGUGCAGGAGAAACCCCGGCUAACUACGUGCCAGCAGCCGCGGUAAUAC
This 408-nucleotide ribosomal RNA is filed under the name uncultured bacterium. RNAcentral's name for it is "partial 16S ribosomal RNA". It matches the Rfam family "Bacterial small subunit ribosomal RNA", at positions 28 to 526 of the family's 1533-position model. The record is from RNAcentral.